Long non-coding RNA from Homo sapiens (human), 391 nucleotides. Ensembl annotates it as colorectal cancer associated 1. Its record names the gene COLCA1. Lineage: Eukaryota; Metazoa; Chordata; Mammalia; Primates; Hominidae. The record is from Ensembl.
GUGUGGCUUCUGGGCAGGCUCCGACCUCUGCGUGCCCUUGGUCUGGAAGCCAGCCCGGGAGCAAGCGGAAAAGCCGUGGAAACACACCCGGAUUGAAAUGCCCCUGGCCCGCCUGACCCGACCCUAGGAGAAGCAGCCGAGUUACCCGACAUCGUGGUCAGCAGGAGCUGGGUCGGUGGCUGGAUGCUGCAGCAGCAGGGACUCAGCGCCUGGGAGGGCUCCUGGGGCAGGGAGAGAAGCAGAGAUGCAACAUUUUUAAAAUUUCACAAAGCAUCCGGCUGCACCCAGGUCCCUGGAACAGGAGACAAACAGAAUUAAUGUUUUAUACCUUCGGGUAUAGGUUUGAGUUUUUUCCCCCUCAUGCCAAGUAUUUAAAACCUCUAGAAACCCA